AUGGUGAUUGAUUUUAGUGAAAUGUCCGCUGUUCCAAAAACAUCAAAUGUAUAUUGUACAAAAAGGACAACGAUUUUACCACAUACAGAGACAAUUAUAUGGGGAAAAGUUCCGUCAAAUAUUUAUUAUGGAAAACAAGGAAUUUGUACGUCUAGUAAAUAUAUUGUAUCUAGAGGAUUGGUUAUUUCUAAAGGAGUCGUUUCUGUGUCAAAAGGUAGACUUAUUCCAAUUAAAAUAUUAAAUCCAAACAGUUGUAGUAUUGACUUGUAUAAAGGAAAAACAUUAGCUAUGUUUGACGAAAUUACAUCUGAACACUCGCUUCUUCCGUUCAACGAUACUACAGAUCAUUGCGUUCAAAACGUGAAUUUGAUAAACGAUACAAAUAGUGUAAACAGUAAAAGUGACCCGGUUAAGCUUGAUUCUACUGUACAAUCUGAGAAUAACAACACGUUUAACAGUGAAAUCACGGAUUUUAUUGCGAAUUUUCUGUUUGAAAAAUCUAAUUUGGACAAAGUUCAGCGUAACGAUUUACACAAGUUUUUGUACAGCAAUAAAGACAUUUUUGUGACAAAGUCAGAUCCUGCUUUAGGAUUCACGGAUUUAGUUAAACAUAAAAUACUGUUGAAACCUGAUGCCAAACCGAAGUAUCAGAAACCUUAUCGUUUGUCGCCCGAUAAAAAGGACGUUUUAAGGCAUCAUUUGGACAAUUUGCUUGAGCAAGGAAUUAUUUCUCCUGUAUUUCCAGAUGAAGACCUACCGAUAACAAGUCCGAUUGUGCUAGUUACUAAGCGUGUACAUGGAACAAAACAAGGACCUCCAUAUGACAAAGACUCCAGUCUUUCGCAAUUUCGUUUUUGCUGCGACUUCAGAUAUCUAAAUUCUCAGUGUAAAAUCUUCUCAUAUAAUAUACCGGAUUUACAAGACUUAACAGAAUCUUUUUCACAAAGAAAACCAAAUUUCAUAACAUCCAUUGACAUGAGUUCCGGAUUUUUCCAAAUGAAAAUAGACCCUUCAAGUUCGAAAUAUACGGCUUUCAAUACAUGUUUUGGGACAUACAAAUUCAAUCGAUUACCCAUGGGACUUAGCUCAGCACCGAACUCGUUUCAACUUUUAAUGGACAAAGUUUUGUCCGGACUAACUUUCAGGUCAUGUCUUUGCUAUUUGGACGAUGUGUUAAUCUGUUCAGAGACAUUUCAAGAACAUAUUAAUGACUUGACCGAUGUAUUCAAUCGUUUUAGAAGUGCUGGUCUUAAACUGAACCCGAAAAAGUGUCAAUUUGCAGAACAGUCAUGUAUAUUUCUUGGACACCAUAUUUCGUCAAAAGGAAUAAAACCGCCCCCAGAUCGUGUCCAAGCUUUACAAACAUAUCCGUCACCUCGAAAUUUAAAAGAACUCCGCAGAGCUUUAGGUUUAUUUGGAUGGUUCCGAAAGUUUAUACCGAACUAUAGUGAAAUAACUCAAUCAUUGACAAAAUUAUUGCGAAAAGGCGCCUUAUUUCAAUGGAACAAAGAACAAGAAACGGCAUUAAAUGCACUUAAAACACGUUUACUCAACUCGGAAAUCUUAGCCUUUCCUCAAUUUAACCUUCCGUUUUAUUUGGCCGUUGAUUCAUCUUCAAAAGGGAUAGGAUAUAUGUUGUACCAAAAACAUCCUGAUGAAAAUAAAAACAUUGAAAAAGUUAGAGUAGUCCGUUUUGGUUCGAAAGCUUUAAAUCAUUGGCAAAGGUCAUACGGUCCAACUAAACUCGAGCUAUUAGGAGUCGUUACAAGCGUUACUGAUUGUUCAAGUUACCUAAGAGGCAAUGAAUUCAUCGUUGAGUGUGACCACAAGGCAUUGCGACCGCUAAUUGAAAAACAACUGAAAGGAGCGAUAUAUGAUCGUUGGCUUGCAAUAUUACAACAGUACAAUUUCGAAAUUCGUUACAAACCAGCCGCGCAAAUGCAAGUACCGGAUGCAUUAUCUCGUUGUAUUGGAAGUGAUGUGUCCGGUGAGAAUUCAAGUCCGGCGGAAGAUGACCUCUUUUUCCCGUAUGUUCAGGAAACGACAGGACAAAUUAGUAUUUCGAAUCCCGUUGAGAACAAUACACAAACUUUAAACUUUAUCGACUUUGAAACAGAAGAAACCGAUCUUGACGCAGGAUAUACAGCCGAUACCGAAGAUGAAUAUAUUUCUCCAAAAUUUAACGAAAAUCACUGCAUUAGUACAGUAUUUACAUUGCCUAAAUAUAGCCCGAUUGAGCAGACAGAGGAUGAAGCGAAUCGUAUUGAAUUAGAAUUUUUCGAUUCUCCGUGUGAAGAUACAACUGCGCUUUUGAAACCGACGUUGCAACAAAAAUGUAAACAUUCCGCCGAUGCUCAGGACGUAGCAAAGGUGGAAAUUGAAUGUAUUACUGAAGAUCAAUGUUUUGCACUAAACAACAUAGACAAUAUUAGUAUGUUAAAACCGUUGGAAGCCAUAGAUGGAACUUAUUUGAUGAAUGAAAGUGCUCAUAAUUGCGAUACUCAAGACAAUGUUUUACAUGAAUUUGACCCUUUGAAAGUUAAGACACAAGAUGAACAAUUAAACGACGAAAUAGAUUGCAAUUCCGCAUUGAACUUGCACGAGCGUGAAUGGUUGAAAUUCACAAAUGCUUCCAAUUUAAAUGACAUUUCUGUAAAUGCAGUGCAGAAAAUUUUAUUAGGUGAAAAAAGUGACAAUGAACUUACAAAUGAAAGUCAAAAGGAUAAUGAUACAUCGACAGAGGACGAUACAUCGAUUGAAAAUAAACCUGUUCCGAUAGUUUCAAGUGACGACGAACUUGUGAAACGAAGCAUAGAACUAUUUAAGCGAAGUGAUUUUAGUCCAGACAGUGUGAAAGAAUUGCAACGAAAUGAUGUUAAUUUACGACAAAUUAUUGACUAUCUUGAAAAUCAAGUUUUGCCACAUUUACAACGAGAUGCACGACGGCUUAUACUACGUUCUGCAGAUUAUUUACUGAUGAAUAAUUUGCUUUUUCACAACCGAAAUGCUAAGUGCAAACGAACUAGAGACCACAAGCCAAAAUACCAGUUAGCUUUACCGAAAAUACUCAUAAGACCAAUUAUGGAAAUUUUUCACGAUUCGCCUAUGGGAGGCCAUGGAGGCAUACAAAACACUAUAGAUUUAAUAAGUGAGCAUUUUUAUUUCGACAAAUUGCCAUCUCUUGUAACCGAAUAUGUCAAAUCCUGUCAUGACUGUCAAUCUAGAAAAAUGACAAAAGCUCAUACUAAAACUGGAAUUAUAUCGUACCGUACACCUUCUGGACCAUUUCAAAUAUGGCAAGUUGACCUCUAUGGACCUUUACCGACAUCACAAAGAUCGUAUACACACAUUUUAUCAGCUAUAGAUAUGUUCAGUAAAUUUGUAUAUAAUGUGCCUAUUCCAAACUGUGACGCAAUGACAGUUUCAUAUGCUCUUUUUGAUAUGUUUUGUCAAUUUGGUGUUUGUGAUACAAUUAUAUCUGACAAUGGAAGUGAGUUCAUUUCAAACUGUACUAAGGAAGUUUGUAAAUUGCUUGAAAUUCGUCAAAAUUUUACGCCCAGUAUGAUACAUCAUUGUUUAGGAGCAUGCGAGAGAACUCAUCGAACGUUAGCCGAGAGACUAACUCCAUACAUUCAAAAAGGAACGCAAUGGGACAGUGUGCUACCUGCCAUUACGUUUUCAAUGAACGCCUCAAUAAAUUCCUCUACAAAAUAUUCGCCUUAUGAGAUUAUAUACGGAACAAGACCUAAAUUUCCGCUUUGUUUGUCACAUCAAACCGAUUUCUCAACUUUACCUGACGAUUAUCGUGACUAUGUAGAAAAACAGGCCAAAAAGUUAGAUAUAAUUAGAGAAGAAAUUCGUACAAAUGCACAACGAUCAGGAGAACUUAUGAUGGAUCGAUAUAACAAAAAGACUAAUCCGUUGUAUUUAUCUGUUGGAGACUAUGUAUAUAUGCUUAAAGAUCCGAGUGGCCCAGGACGAAAGUUUCAACCAAAAUACAGUGGACCCUUUAUCGUAAACGCUAUAAAAUCACCUCACAUUGUGAAUCUUAAAGAACCAUCUUCCGGCAAAAUUCUUAAAUAUGACACACAUUUGGAUAGACUAAAAAUUGCAUAUGUUCGUGCACCCGAACCGUCAGACUAUUUUUUAUCAAAAGUUCAUACAGCCGAAAUUAACCGUGAAUCAGAUGAUCCUUACUACAGACAGUGA
Molecule: small RNA, 4209 nt
Filed under: Mytilus galloprovincialis (Mediterranean mussel)
Lineage: Eukaryota; Metazoa; Mollusca; Bivalvia; Mytilida; Mytilidae
Source: RNAcentral